ACGCUCGACACCUACGGGAGCAGCAGUGGGGAAUAUUGCACAAUGGGGGAAACCCUGAUGCAGCGAUGCCGCGUGAAGGAAGAAGUAUCUCGGUAUGUAAACUUCUAUCAGCAGGGAAGAAAAUGACGGUACCUGACUAAGAAGCCCCGGCUAACUACGUGCCAGCAGCCGACGGUAAUCUGAGGCGGGCUGGCAAGGC
This 199-nucleotide ribosomal RNA is filed under the name uncultured bacterium. RNAcentral describes it as "partial 16S ribosomal RNA". It matches the Rfam family "Bacterial small subunit ribosomal RNA", at positions 328 to 539 of the family's 1533-position model. The record is from RNAcentral.